GAUGAACGCUGGCGAGAUGCCUUACACAUGCAAGUCAUACGGGGAUUUUUAAUUCAAGUGGCGGACGGGUGAGUAACACGUAAGAAUUUGCCUUUAGGAGGGGGACAACAACUGGAAACGGUUGCUAAUACCCCAUAUGCUUUCGAGUGAAACGGAAUUUUCCGCCUAGAGAGAAGCUUGCGGCUGAUUAGCUUGUUGGUGAGGUAAUGGCUCACCAAGGCGACGAUCAGUAUCUGGUUUGAGAGGAUGAUCAGACACACUGGAACUGAGACACGGUCCAGACUCCUACGGGAGGCAGCAGUGGGGAAUUUUCCGCAAUGGGCGAAAGCCUGACGGAGCAAUCUCGCGUGAGGGAUGACGGCCUAUGGGUUGUAAACCUCUUUUUUCAGGGAGGAAC
Molecule: ribosomal RNA, 397 nt
Filed under: uncultured bacterium
Lineage: Bacteria
Description: bacterial SSU rRNA
Rfam family: Bacterial small subunit ribosomal RNA
Source: RNAcentral